RNAcentral lists this ribosomal RNA (442 nucleotides) under uncultured bacterium. Its description in RNAcentral is "bacterial SSU rRNA". It matches the Rfam family "Bacterial small subunit ribosomal RNA", at positions 958 to 1398 of the family's 1533-position model. The record is from RNAcentral.
AACGCGAAGAACCUUACCUGGGCUCGAAAUGUAGAGGACGCUAUCAGAGAUGAUAGUUCCCGAAAGGGCCUUUAUAUAGGUGCUGCAUGGCUGUCGUCAGCUCGUGCCGUGAGGUGUUUGGUUAAGUCCAGCAACGAGCGCAACCCUUAUCGUUAGUUGCCAGCGCGUAAAGGCGGGAACUCUAACGAGACUGCCUGGGUUAACCAGGAGGAAGGUGAGGAUGACGUCAAGUCCGCAUGGCCUUUAUGUCCAGGGCUACACACGUGCUACAAUGGUCGGUACAGAAGGCAGCAAAACCGUGAGGUGAAGCAAAUCCUUUAAAGCCGAUCUCAGUUCAGAUUGUAGUCUGCAACUCGACUACAUGAAGUUGGAAUUGCUAGUAAUGGCGUGUCAGCAACAACGCCGUGAAUACGUUCCCGGGCCUUGUACACACCGAGACGUA